Molecule: ribosomal RNA, 541 nt
Filed under: uncultured Bacteroidota bacterium
Lineage: Bacteria; Pseudomonadati; Bacteroidota
Description: bacterial SSU rRNA
Rfam family: Bacterial small subunit ribosomal RNA
Source: RNAcentral
GAGGGAAUAUUGGUCAAUGGACGCAAGUCUGAACCAGCCAUGCCGCGUGCAGGAAGACGGCCCUCUGGGUUGUAAACUGCUUUUAUAAUGGAAGAAACCCCUGGAUGCGUCCAGGGCUGACGGUACUUUAUGAAUAAGGAUCGGCUAACUUCGUGCCAGCAGCCGCGGUAAGACGAAGGAUCCAAGCGUUGUCCGGAUUUACUGGGUUUAAAGGGUGCGUAGGCGGACCGAUAAGUCAGUGGUGAAAGCCCAUAGCUCAACUAUGGAACUGCCAUUGAAACUGCCGGUCUUGAAUUCGGUUGAGGCAGAUGGAAUAUAACAUGUAGCGGUGAAAUGCUUAGAUAUGUUAUAGAACACCGAUUGCGAAGGCAGUCUGCUAAGUCGACAUUGACGCUGAGGCACGAAAGCGUGGGGAGCGAACAGGAUUAGAUACCCUGGUAGUCCACGCCCUAAACGUUGAUUACUCGCUGUUGGCGAUACACUGUCAGCGGCUAAGCGAAAGCGUUAAGUAAUCCACCNNNGAAGUACGACCGCAAGGCUG